UGGGGAAUAUUGGACAAUGGGCGAAAGCCUGAUCCAGCCAUGCCGCGUGUGUGAAGAAGGUCUUCGGAUUGUAAAGCACUUUAAGUUGGGAGGAAGGGCAGUAAGUUAAUACCUUGCUGUUUUGACGUUACCAACAGAAUAAGCACCGGCUAACUUCGUGCCAGCAGCCGCGGUAAUACGAAGGGUGCAAGCGUUAAUCGGAAUUACUGGGCGUAAAGCGCGCGUAGGUGGUUCAGCAAGUUGGAUGUGAAAUCCCCGGGCUCAACCUGGGAACUGCAUCCAAAACUACUGAGCUAGAGUACGGAAGAGGGUGGUGGAAUUUCCUGUGUGGCGGUGAAAUGCGUAGAUAUAGGAAGGAACACCAGUGGCGAAGGCGACCACCUGGACUGAUACUGACACUGAGGUGCGAAAGCGGGGGGGAGCAAACAGGAUUAGAUACCCUGGUAGUCCACGCCGUAAACGAUGUCGACUAGCCGUUGGUAUUCANNGAGAUCUUAGUGGCGCAGAUAANGCGAUAAGUCGACCGCCUGGGGGAGUACGGCCGCANGGUUA
Molecule: ribosomal RNA, 552 nt
Filed under: uncultured bacterium
Lineage: Bacteria
Description: bacterial SSU rRNA
Rfam family: Bacterial small subunit ribosomal RNA
Source: RNAcentral